Molecule: ribosomal RNA, 299 nt
Filed under: Ehrlichia ewingii
Lineage: Bacteria; Pseudomonadati; Pseudomonadota; Alphaproteobacteria; Rickettsiales; Anaplasmataceae
Description: partial 16S ribosomal RNA
Rfam family: Bacterial small subunit ribosomal RNA
Source: RNAcentral
UAGUGGCAGACGGGUGAGUAAUGCGUAGGAAUCUACCUAGUAGUAUGGAAUAGCCAUUAGAAAUGAUGGGUAAUACUGUAUAAUCCCUGCGGGGGAAAGAUUUAUCGCUAUUAGAUGAGCCUACGUUAGAUUAGCUAGUUGGUAAGGUAAUGGCUUACCAAGGCUAUGAUCUAUAGCUGGUCUGAGAGGACGAUCAGCCACACUGGAACUGAGAUACGGUCCAGACUCCUACGGGAGGCAGCAGUGGGGAAUAUUGGACAAUGGGCGAAAGCCUGAUCCAGCUAUGCCGCGUGAGUGAA